Molecule: long non-coding RNA, 1009 nt
Filed under: Homo sapiens (human)
Lineage: Eukaryota; Metazoa; Chordata; Mammalia; Primates; Hominidae
Description: non-protein coding lnc-LILRA4-1:20
Source: RNAcentral
UCAGUCUACAGAUUCCUCUGAUGAAAAUAGAAUCAAACUCCAACAUCUCCUCUAAAUGGAGAUGGUUUCUGUUAACUUAAAUUGGAGUAUUACCUUUCUCAUUCAGACCGCUGCUGGAAUCCUUGGAAAUUCUCUACUCCUUUACUUUUAUAGCUUUACUUUUGUCCCCACACAAAUAGUGAGACCCAGAGACCUGAUUCUCAGCCAGCUGGUCUUAGCCAACAACCCGGUUCUUUUCUCUAAAGGGAUCCCUCAGACAGUGGCGGCUUUUGGAUUGAAACCUUUCCUGGAUGAGGCUGGAUGUAAACUUGUCUUCUACCUACACAGAGUGGCCAGAGGGGUUUCCCUCAGCACCACCUGCCUCUUCAGUGGCUUCCAGGCCAUGAAGCUUCACCCCAGUAUCUCUGGGAAGAUGGAACUCUGAAUUAGAUCCCCAAAGUUUAUAGUUUUCUGCUGUUUCCUCUGUUGGAUCUUGAAUCUUGUUGUAAAUAUUUAUACUGCAAAGUAAAUAACUGACCCAAUAAAGAGCAAAAACAUGAGUAUGGAAAAAAUGUAUAGAUACUGCUCCUCACCCUAUCCAGGAAGAUCGCUGUAUGUAAUAGUUGCAGUCAUUUACUGCUGCACAGAUGGUAUAUGUGUCUCCCGUAUAUGUGUCUCCCUCAUGAUCUGCACCAGCAGCUCCAUGGUCCUCGUCCUGCAUAGAUACAAGCAGAGAGUCCAACAUGUUCGCAGCCGCAACCUCUCCCGCAGAACAUCUCAUGAAACCACAACCACACACACCAUCCUCAUCCUGGUGAGCAUGUUUGUCUCCUCUCAUGCUCUAGCUGAUAUUUUGUCAUUGUGCGUAACCCAGAUUCAGAAUCCAAGCCAAUGGCUGAGAAGUACCUCUUUCCUGGCGUCUGCAGGAUUCCCGACAUUCAGCCCCUUUGUGUUCAUUGUCAGUGACGCCCGAGUGUCACGGUUCUACUUUGUGUGCUAGAUAAGGAAGAGAAAUGCCCCAGGUAUGGUC